GUUGCUUGUUGGGCAGAUCGCGCAAUCGGAGAUUUCACAGAGUUUUAGUUUCCGGCGACGACCUCACUACGCUCUGAUCGUGGUUUAGUGGUAAGCUCACGGCGACGGCAUCUUACCGGCUGUGUUGCUUACUUAUGUUUGUCUUCUUUGUUCGAGCUAACGGCGACAGAAUCUUACCGGCAGUAUAGCUUUCCUUUCUGGGCUACUUGGCGACGGCGUCUCACCGACAAGUUGCCUCUGUUUUUUUGUUUUUUUUUUUUUUUUUUUUGCGGGGUGAGAGCCGGGUUGGUUUGGGGACGAUGGUUAGGCCGGAGUUCCGGAAAAUUAACCCUCCGCUCUCGCCCCCCUUCUUUUCGUUUUUUUAGACGGGCACUCUUUUUCCUUUCUACGGUUUUUCCCUAUGGGUUUUCCGUAGAAAGGUUUUAACGAGGCUCGGCCCUUAGUCUGCUUCUCCUGUGCUCUCAAGGGUUUCUUUGGUUUUUUUUCUUUUCCUUUAUUAAUAAAAUCGCAGUUUAAUAAUU
RNAcentral lists this long non-coding RNA (521 nucleotides) under Salvia miltiorrhiza (redroot sage). RNAcentral's name for it is "long non-coding RNA (SMIL_LNC011269)". The record is from RNAcentral. Lineage: Eukaryota; Viridiplantae; Streptophyta; Magnoliopsida; Lamiales; Lamiaceae.